Molecule: ribosomal RNA, 117 nt
Filed under: bacterium
Lineage: Bacteria
Source: RNAcentral
UCCGGUGGCAAUGGCGUGAGGGAAACACCUGUUCCCAUUCCGAACACAGAAGUUAAGCCUCACAGCGUCGAUGGUACUGCUUGCGAGAGUGAGUGGGAGAGUAGAUCGCUGCCGGGU